AACGAACGCUGGCGGCAUGCCUAACACAUGCAAGUCGAACGAGAUCCUUCGGGGUCUAGUGGCGCACGGGUGCGUAACGCGUGGGAAUCUGCCCUUAGGUUCGGAAUAACAGUUAGAAAUGACUGCUAAUACCGGAUGAUGACGUUAAGUCCAAAGAUUUAUCGCCUGAGGAUGAGCCCGCGUAGGAUUAGCUAGUUGGUGUGGUAAAGGCGCACCAAGGCGACGAUCCUUAGCUGGUCUGAGAGGAUGAUCAGCCACACUGGGACUGAGACACGGCCCAGACUCCUACGGGUGGCAGCAGUGGGGAAUAUUGGACAAUGGGCGCAAGCCUGAUCCAGCAAUGCCGCGUGAGUGAUGAAGGCCUUAGGGUUGUAAAGCUCUUUUACCCGGGAUGAUAAUGACAGUACCGGGAGAAUAAGCCCCGGCUAACUCCGUG
Molecule: ribosomal RNA, 436 nt
Filed under: uncultured bacterium
Lineage: Bacteria
Description: partial 16S ribosomal RNA
Rfam family: Bacterial small subunit ribosomal RNA
Source: RNAcentral